Molecule: long non-coding RNA, 2051 nt
Organism: Solea solea (common sole)
Lineage: Eukaryota; Metazoa; Chordata; Actinopteri; Pleuronectiformes; Soleidae
Exons: 3
Source: RefSeq, a predicted model, not a curated record
UGCGGCGUUGGAGGGUCAGAGAUGAAGAACACCCCAGACCAGAGGAACAAAUGAGAGUCUGUCUCCUUUAACUGGAGGCUGCGUCUCCUUUAAUGUGGACCAGGAGCUGUCAGAGGACGUCCUGUGUCUCUAACUGGUGUCAGCGUGAAGUCUGUCUUCUGUCCUCCAGCUCUGCUCACAGCGAAACAACUCUGACCUCCAGACUUUAAAACUGGAGGAACUGAGAAAUGUUAACCUCUGACCUCUGACCCCGAGGCUCCCAGCAUGCAUUAGCAGAUGAACUAAGCCAACUACGGACUGAAGGACUGAAGGUGGAGGAGAAGACAGUCCAGAGUGAGCAGCAGGUUAUUAAAACUGAUGAAAAACUGGUCGGGAAAGUGUGCGCGUGAGUGUGUGUGAGUGUGUGUGUGUGUGUGCAUGUGUGUGUGUGUGUGUGUGUGUGUGUGUGAGUGUGUGCAUGUGUGUGUGUGCGUGACAGAGAGAGAGGAUCAUCAGAUUUGUUCAUUGCUGUGGAAAGUCUGAAGGCAGGACAACAAACCAACGGUCACCACAAGAACUGAGCUGAUCAAAGGACAACAAAGAUACGUCAAUCAUCUUAUUUUGAAGUUUGGCCUGAAAGACGGGAUGGAAGGGUAAGAAAACGACGAGCGGAGAAAGGACGAGAUAAAUGUCUCCAGAGAAGAAGACGGAGACGACGAAGAAGACGAGCAAAACUCGAAAAUUCCUCUACCUUUAGGGGGCGCCACAUCUAAUCAUCUACUUCCAUCCUGGAGGUAGACGAUCCCGGAGCAACAGACCAAAACACAAAAAUGAAUUUGCGACCAAAUAAUAUGAAGACCUCUAAAUAAGAGGUGGGGAAUGAGUCUUUACCCGGAGUGAAGGAGAUUAAGUAUCUCUGGGUUUUGUUGACGAGUGAGGGAACAAUGACGCGUGAGACUGGCCGAAGAAUUGGAGCUACACGAGCGGUUUGUUCUGCCACAAAGUUGUGACCAAAUGGGAGCUGAGCCAAAAGGCAAAGCUCUCCAUCUACUGGUCAUGAACGAUGGAGGGUACCCGAAGUACCCGAAAUGGGUUUUUUCAAGAAGGGUCUGUGGGGUCUCCCUUAGAGAGAGUGUGAGAAGCUCAGCCACCCGGGAGGGACUGAGAGUAGAGCCACCGCCCCUUUGUGUGGAGAGGAGUUGAGGUGGUUGAGGCACCUGGUAAGGAUUCCUACCACGUCCAACUGGGAGAAGACCUCAGGUCAGACCAAGGACUAGGUGAAGAGAUUAUGAGUGUAUUCAUUCACACCAGCUCUUCCUAAUCAAACCCUAGUUCAGAAAGUCGCAGGUUGCAGUUCGCUUCAAGUUUUGGCAUUUGGCAUUGUGGGUAAACGCAACCAAAACAUAUGUGAGUGUAGAACGAUUAACCAACAGAUGAGCCAGCUUUGUUAUCCAUUGUUUGUCUUGUCUUCUUCAAUAAUUGAUACAGCGCCACCUCAGGCGAGGAGGGGAACACGUUAUUCAUGUGUUUAAAGAAACAGUUUAAAGAGGAGCAGACGACGUGACGUCGAUGCAGGAGAGACAGAAUCAGAGGCGUGUCAGAAAGAAGAAUGAAUGGUCACUGUACGUUCAACAGGCAGGAAUCUCAUCUCAUGGAAUAAUGGAAUGUUGACACCCUGCUGUUGACCUCUUGACCCUUGACACUUUAACAUCCCCACCCCACCCCCACCGACCACCAACCCAGACCUUCAACAACCCUCGCGUUGUCCACCCUCUGGAGGCCUCUCAUACUUCGACAAGUUUCCAGUGCCAGAAACUGGAGCUUGUUGCCAUAGAAACAGCCUUGUAUAGACGGGGAGGGGUGGAAUCUCUGCCGCAUUGCUCUACUUGGAUGAGUGUUUUGUAUUCAAGUGUGUGAGUGUGUGUUUGUCUCUGAGAGACCUCAUGAAUGAGUGUGUAAUCAGGCUCUUGUGCCGGAGAUACUUGUGCUGUUGUUGUUUUCACGAUGCUCAGCUUCUUUCUUUGCUACUUCAGACGUUUCUCCAGCCUGAGCUGUGUUUUUCAGGACGAGCA